This is a long non-coding RNA of Lethenteron reissneri (Far Eastern brook lamprey), 2970 nucleotides long. RefSeq lists it as uncharacterized. Lineage: Eukaryota; Metazoa; Chordata; Hyperoartia; Petromyzontiformes; Petromyzontidae. The record is from RefSeq and is a predicted model, not a curated record.
UCCACGUGUCUCCGUGUGUCUCCCUGCAGGUGGUCUCAGCUCUACUUUGUGUGCUGGUGGUUUGUCUCCUCCGUCAUCUGGGUCAACCUCUUCGUGGCACUCAUCCUCGAGAGCUUCAUCACCAAGUGGGACCGCAGCCAGAACCCGGGUCCUGCCGACUGCAACCAGGAGGAGCACCUCGCAUACGGAACGAACCUGCACGUCAUCUUCCGCAAGGAUGUAGAGGAGCCCACGGAGGAGGAGCUGCUGCAGAGCCUCAGGCACCACCCGCACGUCCACCUGCGGCCAUGACGGCUCCGGCCGUUUGCGUCGGAGCGGACCUAGCGGAGGGACGGUCGCCCGGCCAGCCAGGGGGGGCGCCCUCCUCCUCCGGCUGCGGCUGCCCCGUGAAGGGGCCGGCUCCGGUUGGACUCUGGUGGCUCACGACGACGGAGAUGAUGAAGAUGAAGAUAACCCCAGCGAACGCACCCAGCUUCUCACGACUCAGAGAGCCGUGACGCACACACACACACGUGUACACACACACGUGUACACACACACACCUACACACACACACGUGUACACACUCACACACGCGUGUACACACACACACACGUGUACACACGUGUACACACGUGUACACACACACACGUGUACACACACACACGUGUACACACACACACACGUGUUCACACACACACACACGUGUACACACACACACGUGUACACACACACACGUGUACACACACACACACGUGUACACACACACACACACGUGCACACACUCACACGCGUGUACACACUCACACGCACGCGUGUACACACACACGUGUACACACUCACACACACGUGCACACGCACACACACGUACACACACGUAGACACACGCACACACACACACGCUUACAAAGGCUUAACAGACUGUUGGGGCAAGUGCUGUUAGCGAGCAGCACUUAUGAAGGCUGGCACGGCACACGGAGGGGGUGGUUGGCCAGUAAUACGCACACGCACACACAUGUUCACACACGUGUACAGAGGUGUGGACACACGCGUGGACACACGCACACAUGUUCACACACGUGUACACAGGUGUUCACACAUGCUCGUGUCAAGAGUCAUAAUAGCCGUGUCAAUAUCCUAAUGUGUAUAUCAAUUCCAUAAUGGCCGUGCCAGGUUUAAUAUGGCCGUGUCAGGGCCAGUAACAGCCUUAAUGGGCAUUUAAAUUAAAAAAUGGCUGUGUCGGGAUCAUAAUGGCCGUGCCGGGAUCAUAAUUGCCGUGUCAAUUUCCUAAUGGACUUAUCAAUUCCAUAUUGGCCGUGUCAAUUUUCUAAUGUGGAUAUCAAUUCCAAAAUGGCCGUGUCAGGUUCAUAUUGGCUGUGUCAAUUUCUUAAUGGGCACAUCAAUUCCAAAACGGCCGUGUCAGGUUCAUGAUGGCCGUGUCAAUUUCCUAAUGGGCACAUCAAUUUCAAAACGGCCGUGUCAGGUUUAUGAUGGCCGUGUCAAUUUCUUAAUGGGCACAUCAAUUUCAAAAUGACCGUGUCAGGUUCAUGAUGGCCGUGUCAAUUUCCUAAUGGGCACAUCAAUUUCAAAACGGCCGUGCCAGGUUCAUAAUUGCCGUGUCAAUUUCCUAAUGGGCACAUCAAUUCCAAAAUGGCCGUGUCAGGUUUAAAAUGACUGUGUCAAUUUCCUAAUGGGCACAUCAAUUUCAAAAUGACCGUGUCAGGUGCAUGAUGGCCGUGUCAAUUAUCUAAUGGGCACAUCAAUUUCAAAAUGACCGUGUCAGGUUCAUGAUGGCCGUGUCAAUUUCCUAAUGGGCACAUCAAUUUCAAAAUGACCGUGUCAGGUUCAUGAUGGCCGUGUCAAUUUUCUAAUGUGGAUAUCAAUUUCAAAAUGGCCGUGUCAGGUUCAUGAUGGCCGUGUCAAUUUCCUAAUGGGCAUUACCAAAUUCAAAAUGGCCGUGUCAGGUUCAUGAUGACCGUGUAAAUGUCUUAAUGGGCAUAUCAAUUUCAAAACGGCCGUGUCAGGUUCAUAAUCGCCACAUCAAUUUCCUAACGGGCACAUUAAUUUCAAAAUGGCCGUGUCAGGGUCCAUAAUUGCCGUGUCAAUUUCCUAAUGGGCACAUCAAUUUCAAAAUGACCGUGUCAGGUUUAAUAUGGCCAUGUCAGAGACACCGAUGAGUCGGGUUCAAGCCGCUCCGGUUCUUGGCUCACGUCUCUCUGAUUCAAAACGGAAGCCAGAGAGAGACAGGGACUCAUCAGUGGGGCGACAUUCCACAUUCCCGUGGCAGGACGAGUCCAUCCGUAGUAGGGUUGACCACAACUUUGGUGCGUAUCCAGCCAAGUAUCGAUUUUAGUGGCACACACCCCCAGAUGGUGAUGAUGAUGGUGAUGAUGGUGGUGAUGAUGGUGGUGAUGGUGGUGGUGAUGGUGGUGAUUUGAUGAUGAUGAUGAUGGCGGUGGUGGUGGUGAUGAUGGUGGUGAUGGUGGUGAUGAUGGUGAUGGUGGUGGUGAUGAUGAUGGCGGUGAUCGUGGUGAUGAUGAUGAUGGUGGUGGUGAUGGUGCUGAUGAUGGUGAUGAUGGUGCUGAUGAUGGUGAUGUUGGUGGUGGUGAUGGUGGUGAUGAUGGUGGUGGUGGUGCUGAUGAUGGUGAUGGUGGUGAUGAUGGUGCUGAUGAUGGUGAUGAUGAUGGUGAUGUUGAUGGUGGUGAUGAUGGUGAUGGUGAUGAUGGUGCUGAUGUUGGUGAUGUUGGUGAUGAUGAUGGUGGUGAUGUUCAUGAUGAUGUCGUUGACUUUUCCCGCGAGACGCGGUCCAUUAGGAACCUUCGUUCACGGCUGAUAUUUUUUUAUUUUUUUUAACAACAGGAAACAGAAUUUAUAUUUGUGAUUAAAUUAUUGUAAAUAUCCUCCUCCCUUUUUAAACACCGCAGAGACGUUGAAUAUCAAUGGGGGUGGCUGUCUGGCCUUGUGGUUAAAUAAAGGAAGUCACAGUUACUA